UACGUAGGGGUCGAGCGUUGUCCGGAGUACUGGGCGUAAAGCGUGCGCAGGCGGCUCAUCGCGCUCGGCGUGAAAGCCCCCCGGCUCAACCGGGGAGGGUCGUCGAGGACGGAUGGGCUUGAGGGUAUCAGGGGUUGGUGGAAUUCCCGGUGUAGUGGUGAAAUGCGUAGAGAUCGGGAGGAACACCCGUGGCGAAGGCGGCCAACUGGGAUACACCUGACGCUGAGGCACGAAGGCGUGGGGAGCGAACGGG
RNAcentral lists this ribosomal RNA (253 nucleotides) under uncultured bacterium. RNAcentral describes it as "partial 16S ribosomal RNA". It matches the Rfam family "Bacterial small subunit ribosomal RNA", at positions 524 to 776 of the family's 1533-position model. The record is from RNAcentral.